AUCCAGUUUUUGCUUUCUAGAUAAUAGACCUGAUAAAUGACCUAGGGCAGCUUCUGUGCUGUGUAGGGAUUUAAUCAAUUUUAGUGAUUCAAGAAGCUCAAAUUGUAUGGAAAACAAGUUUAGAAUGCAUGCUGUCUAGCCCAUCAUCUCUGAUCCUUCUCUCAAACCAUUUGAAAUGGCUCCACUGAUCAAGAGUUUGUUAAUUCAUCUGUGGUAACAGUGAAGAGCGGCAACCCUUCCUAAUCGGCAAAUGAUCAGAUAAUGUGUGCUGAAGUUUCUUCCAUGCUCUGAGUCAGAUGUCAACUAUUUUGUCCUUCACAAUUGUAUAACUCACAUUGGAGAGUUUAAGCAUUAAAGGAGAAAGAAGGCAACUUGAGUGCCCUAAUUUUAGAAAUUAUAUCUAUCCCUAAAAAUUACUGAAAAUAUGAAUGCUGGGUGGGAAUUAUAAAUGAGAAAAAUAUAUUUAUUUCAGUGAAAUUUUGCAUGUGUGAAAAUUUUGUUAAAUAGGACCUUCAAGAUUCUAGGGUUUGUUUUUAUUUUAUUGUGGAAAACAAAUCUUUUGCUGAUAUUACCAU
This 575-nucleotide long non-coding RNA is filed under the name Marmota monax (woodchuck). The record is from RNAcentral. Lineage: Eukaryota; Metazoa; Chordata; Mammalia; Rodentia; Sciuridae.